GAACGAGCAUCCAAGAAGGAGCCAGCCCAGAUGUGAAGAGGAGGAAGGGGAGGAGGUCACCAGGAGCAGAAAGCUCAGAGACCAAUCAGAGCUCAGACUAAACAGGAAGAGGAUGUGGCUUCCUGUAAGGCACCUCAGAAGCAGAUCUUUGUAGGCGGCGAGUGCUAUGGACCCACUUUCUCAGGAACAAUAGCUCUGCCGACUCAGGAUCCAACCGGGGCCUUGCAGAUGAAUUACAAGCAUUUCUGAGAAGCUUAAAGUUACAGAAUGUCUGACCGAGGAACAAAUGGAUAAGAAGAGGUAGCAGAAAAACAGAACAGCAUUGACAAGGCUGAAAACAAUAUGUGUUUAACCCUCUAAAAUUGGACACAAAAGACUUCCACUCGACGCCUCCUCAAAAGGUCACGUGUGGCACUUGACCAACUUGAAGCUAUUAUGUCCAGAGAGCUCAAAAUUAGUUAAAUUGAUGUGGAACCAUCGACAGCAGAGAAACUAUCCGAAACGUCACCGCGUAACCUCAGUUUACGAAACGCAAAAGUAUUCCGGGGGUUUGUGAAUGCAACGCUUUCCUCCACGUUAUUCAGAGGCGCGAGGGAACGAGGAGACGUUUGGAAGUUACGUAGCACUUUGACGCAAACGAUCAUUUUCUCUGUGAUUUCUAGCAUUGUUAAAAACGUGCGUAGGCUUAAAAAAAAUACCCCGCUGUUUCUUACUCACACUCGACUGACUAACAUUGGAUACAAUGUCUCUACUCCUGGCUGCCUCCGAGGCCCCGUCUGCGUCUGUAAAAACAGUCAGGGGCGUCUCACGCACGUCAUCAGCGGUGCCUGAGAGGCCGCUGAUGAAAAACGAUGGCAACGUUCUGCUUUUUCUGCCUGCGUCGCAUGAAAGGAGCCGUUAGUCAGUCUUAAAGAGACACACCGUCUCUCUCUGGAGCUAUUAAUAGCCACACAGGCUGCCUUUCUUUUUUCUUUUUCUCUCUAUGUAGAAAAGCUGACCACCAAACAUUUUGAGGUGAGCCCAGAAAAAAAAAAAAAUCAAAUUCCCCCUUUCUCUGCUCAUUUCCUCCCCACCCUGGAUUCUGCAGAAAGCCGUACACUGUGACAAAUAGCUCACCCGGGUUAUUUUUAGCUUCAAGCGUCCAGAGCCUCCUAUUUAUGCUGCAACAUGUGUCCAGAAUCGGCACAUUGCAAGGGAAAGCAGUGAGGAAGACAUAUUAGUUAGACAGUUAGCGCACUGAACCGCAACCAGGUUAGCAUACCUGAUGGCGUAAGACAUAUCCGAACUGUGAAUCACCCUGUAAUUAUUAGGUUACAGCAGAUUUCACACACGAAAGAGCCUGCUUUCUCUGUCAAAUGUCUGCUUUCUCUGAGAUUUUACACUUUAAUGUAAUGAUUACACAGGGAAAG
This is a non-coding RNA of Poecilia reticulata (guppy), 1409 nucleotides long. Lineage: Eukaryota; Metazoa; Chordata; Actinopteri; Cyprinodontiformes; Poeciliidae. The record is from RefSeq and is a predicted model, not a curated record.